UAUAUUUGAAUACUGGAACUAACAUGUGCGUUGUAUUUCAUCCGUGCAAAGUGUGAAUGCGUGGUAAAUAUAUAUUUCUGUGAGACAGGAAAAACUGAUGCUUCUAUUGUAACGUGUAUGAGUAUACCGUGUAAGAAGGAUUGGGAUCAAAGCCAAUAAGCCACGCAUUUAAACAAGCUUCCUUAAAUAGUUUGUCUUUUCUUAACCAUCCUCAAGGUCCCAGUUAUUAAACACAAGUUAAGAGCUUCCAAGUGUGUUUAGAACAAAUUUUGUCAGUGCAUGUGCUUUAACAAACUUUACAGAAGGAAAUAAGAUGUUUUUUUUUCUGAAUGGCAGUUAACGGUAACCUUCGUGAAAUGAUGUAUAACUGAUUGAAAAACGACCCGUGCAAGGUAGUAGUAAACUUUGAUUACAAAGACUAUAGAGUUAGAAUUUUCAAGUCAGCAAGGUUUAUUAAGGGUGAACAUGGCAGAUUCAAGUAACUAUUCAAUAGAAGAAGGCUUCGUCGCAAGUGUACGAGUGCAAGAGCGGAAUUAUACAUGUAAAACAUUAUAAGGAAUAAGAUCUGACUUCUGUGCAAGAUUUGGAAAAGAAGAGCUUUAUAAAAGAACAUAUAAAAUGCGUAAAUAUAUCAGGAUGCAAUAAAUCCUUUCUUUCAUGUA
Molecule: long non-coding RNA, 662 nt
Organism: Limulus polyphemus (Atlantic horseshoe crab)
Lineage: Eukaryota; Metazoa; Arthropoda; Merostomata; Xiphosura; Limulidae
Exons: 2
Source: RefSeq, a predicted model, not a curated record